This 68-nucleotide transfer RNA is filed under the name Amorphophallus pusillus. RNAcentral describes it as "partial tRNA-Leu". It matches the Rfam family "tRNA", at positions 16 to 69 of the family's 71-position model. Rfam says of the family: Transfer RNA (tRNA) molecules are approximately 80 nucleotides in length. Their secondary structure includes four short double-helical elements and three loops (D, anti-codon, and T loops). Lineage: Eukaryota; Viridiplantae; Streptophyta; Magnoliopsida; Alismatales; Araceae. The record is from RNAcentral.
UCGGUAGACGCUACGGACUUAAAAUCCGUCGACUUUAGAAAUCGUGAGGGUUCAAGUCCCUCUAUCCC